AUGGCAGGUUCCGGAAUCGAUUGGGCUUCAUCGAUUGUGGGAGACGUGCCAUCACCUCAGACAAUACAGCCACCAUCACAAGAGGUACAAAGACGUCAGAAUACGCACAAACAGGUGACGAAACUUGAAUCUGUGUCAUCAAGAGGAAUAGAUCAGGAGAGGGCGAGGUAUCAGAAGGUUGAAGAACUGAAAGAAACAAUAAGAACAACAGAAGACGCAAAAAAUCAUUCAUGCAAAGAGUAUAAGCUUAUUAAGAGAUCCGGUGAAGAAAUGUCCUUCAUCGCUGAGACUAUACUAUUGGACAGUGUCAUUGCUUCUGAAUCAACUAAAGUAUCUAUAAUAUAA
RNAcentral lists this ribosomal RNA (345 nucleotides) under Triticum aestivum (bread wheat). RNAcentral describes it as "partial small subunit ribosomal RNA". Lineage: Eukaryota; Viridiplantae; Streptophyta; Magnoliopsida; Poales; Poaceae. The record is from RNAcentral.